UGGGGAAUUUUGGACAAUGGGCGCAAGCCUGAUCCAGCAAUGCCGCGUGCAGGAUGAAGGCCUUCGGGUUGUAAACUGCUUUUGUACGGAACGAAAAGCCCUGGGUUAAUACCCUGGGGUCAUGACGGUACCGUAAGAAUAAGCACCGGCUAACUACGUGCCAGCAACCGCGGUAAUACGUAGGGUGCGAGCGUUAAUCGGAAUUACUGGGCGUAAAGCGUGCGCAGGCGGUUUUGUAAGACAGAGGUGAAAUCCCCGGGCUCAACCUGGGAACUGCCUUUGUGACUGCAAGGCUAGAGUACGGCAGAGGGGGAUGGAAUUCCGCGUGUAGCAGUGAAAUGCGUAGAUAUGCGGAGGAACACCGAUGGCGAAGGCAAUCCCCUGGGCCUGUACUGACGCUCAUGCACGAAAGCGUGGGGAGCAAACAG
Molecule: ribosomal RNA, 428 nt
Filed under: uncultured bacterium
Lineage: Bacteria
Description: bacterial SSU rRNA
Rfam family: Bacterial small subunit ribosomal RNA
Source: RNAcentral